Molecule: unclassified non-coding RNA, 267 nt
Filed under: Hevea brasiliensis (rubber tree)
Lineage: Eukaryota; Viridiplantae; Streptophyta; Magnoliopsida; Malpighiales; Euphorbiaceae
Source: RNAcentral
CAGCGGAAAAGUUUGUGAACAGAGUGUUUUUUCCUGAUACAACACUUGAGCAGAAUAACAACAACAACUUUGUAUGCAACAGCCAUAACAAACAGCACCAGUAAAUUUUUCCACUUAGUGUUGCUGUCAUCAGAUAUAUCAUAUACAUUUCCCAGAGCCUCAUAACCAGAGAUGGUUCUCACCUGCCCCACUGCAAAAGAAGUUCCGAUGUACUCGUUCUCCAACAGUCCUUGGAUAGAAUAAGUAUGAAAAGCUAUAUAAGAAAUG